AUUAAAGAAAUAGCUGGAGAAAAACAAGGGCUUGGCAAAGCUGUUUAGAUGAACGUGUUCGAACAGAAGAAGUUUCUUUUUGGUCGAUUAAGCAGCGGAUAGAAAGAAUGUGCACAGUGACCAGACUGUGACAUCACCUCACCGUCUGAAAGAUGGCGCGCGGAUGAACCCUGAGGCCUCGCGCAGCCGCUGAUCCGACAGGCAAUUUGAUCAGUAGGCUAUGUGGUGGAGUAUGACAGCUGCUUGAAUUAGAUGUCAAGAUCUCUGAUCAACUGUGAAGAGCACUAGAGUCAUGAACACUAAACUUGUACUUGCCACAGCAGAAGUAAAAUGUAUGCACUGG
Onychostoma macrolepis is the source of this 343-nucleotide long non-coding RNA. RefSeq lists it as uncharacterized. The transcript has 3 exons. The record is from RefSeq and is a predicted model, not a curated record. NCBI's taxonomy places the organism in Eukaryota, Metazoa, Chordata, Actinopteri, Cypriniformes, Cyprinidae.